CCAGCCGUUCAUACCCAAUUCCCUUCCAAGAAACCUUAUCCAUUUCUCUUGCCUACCACAAACUCAAACACAGACAAUACACACACAUGAAAAAUUCUAUCUUCUCAAACACUCGAGUGUUUUCUCCCUCUCGAUUUUCCUUACCUGCAAAUACCCCAGCCCCCACUUCUUUAUAACUCACCCCGUAAACCCCUCCCUGUUACACGCUGAAGAUCGGCAGACCACCACCACCACCACCGUCUGGUGGUGGUGCGACGACGGAACCGAGAAAAGAAGGGGGGUGGCGGCGAGGAGAGAGAGAGACCCGAGAUGGCAGAGAGGAGACCGACGCUCACGGCGGCGAGGCGGCGGCGGCGGAGGAGUCUAACGGCGGCAGCACAACGACAGGUUCCGGUAAAGCCAUCCCGCCUCUCUCGAUUCUUUUGAGAUUAUUUUUUUUAGAUUUCAAGUGUUAAUCGACAUGGAUUUCUUAUAUUUCUAUUCUGAUGAUGACCCGAUGACGAUGAGAAUGAUGAUGGCUGAUGGCGGUGCUUGGUUCCACAGCCGGCUACUUGUUUUUCCGGCGACUGUUGCCGGCGGCGGUGGGUUUUACGGCAGCGGAUUCCGGUUCGCGUGUACAAGGAUUAGGGGCAGCAAGUGUUGGUAACGUGAUGGUGAUGGUUGUUAUAUAGUUCUCGGGUUCGUUCAGGUUUCGGCUCCGGGUCAGAUUCAGGCGACCACGGUUCAACUCGGUUCGGGUCAAGAUGCAAGUUCAGUUAAUGAAAGCUAGAGUUGGUUUGGUUUAACUUGGGUUGAGUCGGUCAAACCGAGCCAACUCAGUAUGGUUCGACCCGGUUCAACACAACUCAGUCGGUCAAACCAGUCAAACGUGGUCAAACAGUCAAACUGGUCAACUCGGGUCAACCACAGUCAACACUAGGUCAAAGUCAGUCAACGCGGUUUGACGAAACGGCACAAAGAUUCGGUAAAAUUUAAUCGACGCGAAACCUCAAAUUAUAUAGUUAUAGAUCUUAUAUUGUUACGCGACCGAGCUCGAUCCGAUUAAAUAACGUUUAUACAUUAGUUAUUAUUUACGUUUUGGCGCUUGACGGAAAUUACCUAUAUAUUGUUAGUUGACAA
Molecule: long non-coding RNA, 1119 nt
Organism: Helianthus annuus (common sunflower)
Lineage: Eukaryota; Viridiplantae; Streptophyta; Magnoliopsida; Asterales; Asteraceae
Exons: 2
Source: RefSeq, a predicted model, not a curated record